UCCCUGGUGAGCUUCCUCAGCCCCUGCUAAUUUAUUCCAGAUUUCAGGCUUUCAAUCCCUUUCUAAUAUUGAGCUCAGACAUGCACGUUUAGUUGUUGCCUCCAAAUAACGUGUAUUUUUGUAUUACUAAGCCAACAUUUAAAAAGAACAAAAACUGGUGUGGGAAUUAGAUUUCUUUGUUUUCUUUGGGUUCUGUUACCAUUCCUAUUUCUAAAAAUAUCCUUGAGCCUGUUGUCCGCUGAGCUACUUGUCCCAGCUGUUCAGCUUGCUUUGGCCUCUACUGAGUCAAGUGAAAAUAGAAUUGCUUGUUGGUGCUGUAACAGAUGAGUCCAGAAGCACAGCUUGUCUCAUAUAAUGUGUGUGCUGGAGCUGGUCACCCUCCUGAGCAUUCUAGUCACCUUGCCAGCUAACAGCAGUCCUUCCAAGGGGCACUUGUCUUGGUCAUCCAGUCUAGAGUAAGUUGAGUCACAUGCUGGUGGUGCUGGUUUUGGUUUGUUCGCAGUGAAAACCUGAUAUCUCAUUCUCCUGGAGGUUGAGAUUCACCUGAAUUGAGGCAGCUCUAUUUGCACACAGGGCGUAGCCCAGGACUACUCCGGCUGCCAGCCAGCUUGAUUAGGCAUAGUACAAAAGUGGGUGGAAGGUUCUUGCCUUUUUUCUGUCCCUUGUGAAUUCAGAACCAAUGCAAAUGGAUCCAAGCAGGGAAGCACUGGAAACCUAUGGCCUAGGCUUUUUUAGCCUCCCCACUCUGAGAUUUUUGCUUCCUCUGCCCAGUGCUGGUGGCAAAAGCACCCUGUUUAGUUUGUCAGAUCGCAGCCAAAGUAGUUGCAGACCUUUCAAAAAUAAAUUUCUUAAUUCUGCUGGGUAUUUUGGUAACUCUGAAAUUGUGGGAUGUCUGACACUGUCUUUUUCAAUAAUUUGCUCUCCUAUAAAGGCGCGUUUUGGAAUUUGCUUCUGUGCUUGCUUUCUGUAGGAUGCAUUCAUCCUGAGAAAAAACAAAAUAAAAAAACUACAAAAACUCUGGCAUUAUUGUUUUAAGCCAUAAAAUCCUGCAAGAUUGAGACAGGUUAUUAAUUUCUGGACUUCUGGAUGUGGUGGGAGGCUGCCAUAUUAACUUUAUGCAGCAAGCUGUUUUCCUGCAUUUGGGUUUGGAGCUCAGGUUCCUCCUAGCUGGCAGAUUUAAACCUACCCAUUUAAAUAAAGAAUCAGCAAUCAGUACAGAGAAUAUUGGAUGUGCACAAUGAAAAUCAUUAGGCAUAGGAAAAAAUGUGAAUGAAAGAUUAAAGGGGAUGUUCUCUGUCCUGGGAUACAAGCAUUUAGGCAAAGAACUGAGAUCAUACUGUCAAGUCUCUGAUGUUGAGGUCCAUGAGUGAUUGAAGUUGAGGCUCCCCAGGAAGCACUUUACCAGAUGCGGUGCUGUGUCUUUAAUAUCUGUUUCCCCCCCCAAUCCCUAUCUCCUCAUCUCCAAGUUGUCAA
Lonchura striata (white-rumped munia) is the source of this 1473-nucleotide non-coding RNA. NCBI's taxonomy places the organism in Eukaryota, Metazoa, Chordata, Aves, Passeriformes, Estrildidae. The record is from RefSeq and is a predicted model, not a curated record.